UUGUGAACUCUCAAUUUCUCUGUAAACUUUGCUAGAUUUCUCUCAUCUUGAGAGCUGGCUUAUCGUUUGGGUGUUUUCUAUGAACAUCGAUUCGAUUGUUACUGGUUACGGAGUUUAAUCUGAGUUUCUUAUUAUUCAUUGGAGUGAUCGGAGGUUUCGCUGUAUCAUUCAGACAAGUAUCCAUGUUUCUCUUGUUGGUAAGAGUUACAAUUCCAUCUUUUUGCUUCUUGUUUGUCAUUUAAACUAAUGAAAAAGCCAAAAAGUUUUAAUCUGCCAAAAGAAAAAGUUUUCUUGUGUUUGCGUAUUUUCUGUUCGUUUCAGUCACUGAGGUCAACAUAACAGUUCCAGUUUUUGUCGAUUCUGGUUCAGUCAUGCAAAUGUGUGACAAAGAUGGUUUUUAAUUUUCUAGUUAAAUUUUGAGGUAUGGUUUCCCUGAAUCAUUACAUAACUGAAGAGAUUGUGGUUUGUGAAAUCUUACAGGGGAUGCUGCAAGCACUUCUUGAAAAAUGGUUCAAAAUUACAGAAACUCUGUUUAUCCAAGACCACAAACUUAUAGUUCUUGUUACUGUGUAAUUUGGUUAUAUGUUGUAGAUCAACAAAAUCUUUUUACGUGAGUAAUAUCCAACAUGAUUCUAAGAGAAUCUAACAUCAGGCUGUAUGUGAAAUGCUACCGAAGCAACUAAAACCCAAUACUAAGCCAAGCAUUCAAAGAAGAUACUGUGUUGGGAUCUUGUCAAUAAGCUUCUUUAUUCUUAGUGAAAUCCUAGUGACACCAAAUUAUAUUGAGUGUUCUGUUAAACAAGAUCCUAAAUUUAUUAAAGAUCAAAAUUUUACAAGUCAAACAAAAUUUCUAAGGAGCACAACAUAACUUAAGACAGCAACUGAUAAAAAAGACAAGCGGGUACCUGGUUAAACCAUUGUUCCUGAGCGAAGAAAAGACACACACCCUUUUGAAUCACCGGUUACCUGCAGUAACAGGUUUGAUUAGUAUACAGAAACAAGAAAAUAGAAAAAUAUCUCAUGAGCUUUUUAUGUCUUACAUUCUAUAUUCAGCUUUUCAAUGCGAAAAGUCUCAGUUCUCUCUACUCUCUAGAUGGUAAUAGGUGUGCCCAAACACCAUGCUAUUUUGAAAUGUAGCUACAGUUUUUCCUUUCUUUUGCCCAUGCACUUCUCUUUCAAUGUUAGAUACCAUCAAGUCUGAAUCUGACACUUCUUUGCAACGCCACUCUCAGGGGGCCUUGUGAGAGGUUCAUCAUUGUCUUCAGGCCUUCCUUAAGUUUCCAGUUCAAGUUUUGAGGGGUCAAAGGUUAUCAUUUGAUAUAUAAGGUAUAGAACUGCGCCAUGUCCAGAAGCUCCUCUUGAUUCUCAUAGUAAUUUUUUUUUCCAUCCCCACAUAGCCUUUGCACAACCCUCCAGUGUGUAUUGCAGGUUACAGGUGCGCAGCAGAGUCUGUAGAAACAAGAGGACUCUAUGAGAAAGUGCUAGAGAAUCUGCGACGCAUCAACAGAUAGGAGAUGAAUCAG
Molecule: long non-coding RNA, 1523 nt
Filed under: Arabidopsis thaliana (thale cress)
Lineage: Eukaryota; Viridiplantae; Streptophyta; Magnoliopsida; Brassicales; Brassicaceae
Description: long non-coding RNA (ATHA_LNC000138)
Source: RNAcentral